This 415-nucleotide long non-coding RNA is filed under the name Rattus norvegicus (Norway rat). Its description in RNAcentral is "long non-coding RNA NONRATT018857". Lineage: Eukaryota; Metazoa; Chordata; Mammalia; Rodentia; Muridae. The record is from RNAcentral.
UUCUUCCUUUUUCUUUUCCCAAUCUUCCUCUCCUUCCUCUCCUUCCUCUUCUUCCUUUUCUUCCUCUUCUUCCUCUUCCCCUUCUUUCACUUCCUCUUUCCCAUCUUCCUCUUCUUCCCUUUAUCUUUUCCCUCUUCUUCUUCCUCUUCCUGCUCUUCUUUCUCUUUUUCGUUUCUGUUUUACUCAUAUAUCCACCUAUUUAAAAUUGUCAGUGAUGAUUUUGGUUAUCUAUUUAUGAAGAAAAAUUGAGAACAGCAUUGUGGUUUCUCCUUAACAUGUGUGUGGUUCGGGGUUUGGGUUUGGUUUAGGCUUUGGUUCUUGUUGUUCGCAGCUGUCUCCUGGCCCCUACAAUGUCUGUCCUGGUGCCCCAGUGCUUCGCUAAGACCUCUUUGUAAUAAAACUUCUGAAAAGUGGC